CUAGGAUUCUGAACACGACCCUCUUUGAGAGCUGGGAGAUAAUCGGGCCUUAUGCUUCAUGGUGGCUCCUCAAUGGCCUGCUGCUGACCCUACAGGUUCUGCAUGUCAUCUGGUCCUACCUAAUUGCACGGAUUGCUUUGAAAGCCUUGAUCAGGGGAAAGAUGGAAUCUCGCUCUGUUGCCCAGGCUGGAGUGCAAUGGCACGAUCUUGGCUCACCACAGCCUCCACCUCCUGGGUUCAAGCGAUUCUCCUGCCUCAGCCUCCCUAGUAGCUGGGAUUACAGGUGCACAUGCCACCAUGCCUGGCUAAUUUUUGUAUUCUUAGUAGAAACAGGGUUUCACUAUGUUGGCCAGGCUGGUCUCUAACUCCUGACCUCGUGAUCUGUCCACCUUGGCCUCCCGAAGUGCUGGGAUUAUAGGCGUGAGCCACCGCACCUGGCCUGCCUGUUUUACCUUUUAAGAUGUGACUUAGAUGCAAGAGGAAAGUUCUACCUUCUUCCUGUCCCUUAGGAAUGGCUUUUGUUAAAGGAUGAUAGGGUUAAGAGUUUUUUAAGAGAUGGCCUCAACCAUUUCCUAUCCCUUACCUACCUGUUUCAGUGGAUUUCAUAUUUUUCUUUUUGACAUGGGGCCCUUUUCAAAGGAAAUCGUAUGCAGAGCCGUAUAAACUGUAUAAAAGCAGAUUGUUAAGUUGCCUAGAAGUGGUGUGUGGUAGUUCACAAGCCACCACAAGGUGACCAUGCUGUGAUAUUCAAGAUACGGUUUAUAUAAGAAACUAAAUACCCACCUCACCCCACUAGUGUAUAAAAGCAAGUGUCCUAAGUGAAAGGGUAUGUAGUGUUUCAAAUACCCAUCUUAUGCCAAGAGCCAAAGAAAGGUGCCACUUAAUGAUAAACUCAUAAUUGAAUUUUGCAAGUUUUGAAGCAGUCAGACUGUAGUUAGUCAAAGGGCUAGGGAUUUCAGCCUAAAGAAAUACAGAAUCCCAAGUGGGAGGGGCUCUGCUUGAGCAGGUACUGAUACUAGGACCAGGUGAUGGUAUGUGGCCUAGAUAUUGAUGAUCUCCUGUAUCAUUAUUCCUUAUAGCUGCCAUUGGCUCAGAACUUGCUCAGUGUGCCUGUGCAUCUUGCUGUAGCUACUGGACAUCUCUGUUCUCUCCUGCUUU
RNAcentral lists this small RNA (1158 nucleotides) under Pongo abelii (Sumatran orangutan). RNAcentral describes it as "retained intron". The record is from RNAcentral. Lineage: Eukaryota; Metazoa; Chordata; Mammalia; Primates; Hominidae.